This 521-nucleotide long non-coding RNA is filed under the name Homo sapiens (human). Its description in RNAcentral is "non-protein coding lnc-CHCHD7-4:1". Lineage: Eukaryota; Metazoa; Chordata; Mammalia; Primates; Hominidae. The record is from RNAcentral.
UUUUUAAUAAAUUUUGCUUGUGAUGAUGACCUUCUGUGCUCUGGAACUUCUGUUUUACAAAAAAUUGGAGUUCUUAUGGUCCUUGUCCUUACUCAGGUUGCUGCCUGUUGCCAGAAAGGACUGGCUGUGAAAUAUCUCGGACUUCUUUGUUCUUCAAGCUUCAUUCUCUCUUCUUGGUGAAGUCUCUUAAGGUGCUCAAAUUUGGCCUGUAACUGACCGGCUUGUUUUCUGGGCCCACAUCUGUAAAGCCCAUUUCCUCCAGUUUGCAGCGCCUGUAAAGCUCGGUCCUCCAUAUUUGUACAAAUGAACAUUUCCCGCAGCUUUACAAAGUCACAGUGGUUUUCAUUUUCCACCUGUACAACACCCCAAGGGUACUGGCGAGCUUUAACCAUCUUGUUUCCGACUUUUAUCUCAUCCAUACUUCCCACAACAGCAAACGGCAACUGUCCAUUCAUUGCAGCGUUGACCUUAGCAAUAGUGUCAUCAUCCGUUGGAAACUGGUAUAUCUGGACGCCAUUGCU